This 427-nucleotide ribosomal RNA is filed under the name uncultured bacterium. RNAcentral's name for it is "partial 16S ribosomal RNA". It matches the Rfam family "Bacterial small subunit ribosomal RNA", at positions 355 to 774 of the family's 1533-position model. The record is from RNAcentral.
UGGGGAAUAUUGCACAAUGGGCGCAAGCCUGAUGCAGCCAUGCCGCGUGUAUGAAGAAGGCCUUCGGGUUGUAAAGUACUUUCAGCGGGGAGGAAGGCGAUAAGGUUAAUAACCUUGUCGAUUGGCGUUACCCGCAGAAGAAGCACCGGCUAACUCCGUGCCAGCAGCCGCGGUAAUACGGAGGGUGCAAGCGUUAAUCGGAAUUACUGGGCGUAAAGCGCACGCAGGCGGUCUGUCAAGUCGGAUGUGAAAUCCCCGGGCUCAACCUGGGAACUGCAUUCGAAACUGGCAGGCUAGAGUCUUGUAGAGGGGGGUAGAAUUCCAGGUGUAGCGGUGAAAUGCGUAGAGAUCUGGAGGAAUACCGGUGGCGAAGGCGGCCCCCUGGACAAAGACUGACGCUCAGGUGCGAAAGCGUGGGGAGCAAACA